Molecule: ribosomal RNA, 501 nt
Filed under: uncultured eubacterium WJGRT-4
Lineage: Bacteria
Description: bacterial SSU rRNA
Rfam family: Bacterial small subunit ribosomal RNA
Source: RNAcentral
CGUGCUAACACAUGCAAGUCGAGCGGUACAGGUCUAGUUUACUAGAUGCUGACGAGUGGCGGACGGCUGAGUAACGCGUGGGAACGUGCCCCAGAGUGGGGGAUAAGCAUCGGAAACGAUGUCUAAUACCGCAUAUGGUCCUUGGAAGCCAUCUCUAAAGGAAUAAUCCCCGCUUUGGGAGCGGCACCCCGUUACAUUAGGUAGUUGGUAGGGUAAUGGCCUACCAAGCCUACGAUCUAUAACUGGUCUGAGAGGAUGAUCAGGCAGAUUGGAACUGAGACACGGCCCAGACUCCUACGGGAGGCAGCAGUGAGGAAUCUUCCACAAUGGGCGAAAGCCUGAUGGAGCAACGCCGCGUGAAGGAUGAAGGCCCUAGGGUCGUAAACUUCUGUUAGAAGUGAAGAAUAUGGACGGUAACUUAUGAAGAAGCUCCGGCUAACUACGUCCAGCAGCCGCGGUCAUACGUUAGGAUCCCAAGCGUUAUCCGGAGUGACUGGGCGU